UACAGAGGUCUCAAGCGUUGUUCGGAUUCAUUGGGCGUAAAGGGUGCGUAGGCGGCGCGGUAAGUCGGGUGUGAAAUCUCGGAGCUUAACUCCGAAACUGCAUUCGAUACUGCCGUGCUUGAGGACUGGAGAGGAGACUGGAAUUUACGGUGUAGCGGUGAAAUGCGUAGAUAUCGAGAGGAACACCUGCGGCGAAGGCGGGUUGCUGGGCUGAUACUGACGCUGAGGCGCGAAAGCCAGGGGAGCGAACGGG
Molecule: ribosomal RNA, 253 nt
Filed under: uncultured bacterium
Lineage: Bacteria
Description: partial 16S ribosomal RNA
Rfam family: Bacterial small subunit ribosomal RNA
Source: RNAcentral